GCACAGUCCAUAGCUAGAAAUAGAAGGCGUUGCAUAGAAACGAGCGGUUGAUACGGCGCCCUCCUGUGCGGCUUCGCUUACCCACUCGCAGCAGGCUAGCUGACUAGCAAGUAGCACCCGUCGCCGAGAAGUAUCUCCCUUCCGCUCCCCUCUCCCCUACCCUUCCGGGUCUCGCCCUCCGCCUCACUGGUCCGCCUCCGCCGUCUCGUAGUUUCUCCCCCCGGCAGAUCUUCCACCCCGACCCCUCCGCCAUAUCGAUCUGGUUCUCCUCGCCACCGCCAUGGCUGGGUAGUGCCGCCGCAGUCGUGUGAAUUGCUGUGGCCGGUCGUAUUUGCUCUCCGUGGAGCGACUAAUUCCUCUCCGAGCAGGUGCUCCCCGGCCGCUGCCUCCACUAAGUGCGCUUCACUUUCCUAUUACUCGUGGAUUUGAGUGCCGUGGUGUGAUGGCAGACGUUCAAGAUGGUCAUUAUGAUUCGUCCACUGACAGCUUGCGCGUUGAGCCUAUUUAUGAAUCAUUUCUUUGUCCACUCACAAAACAAAUUAUGCGGGAUCCUGUCACUUUAGAGAGUGGUGCUACAUUUGAACGGGAAGCCAUUUUGAAGUGGUUCAAGGAAUCUGAUAGCAGUGGAAGGAGCCUUGUCUGCCCUAUUACUAGGAAGGAGCUCAGCAGCACUGAGUUGAAUCCAAGCAUUGCUCUGAGAAACACUAUUGAUGAAUGGAUGCAUAGGAAUGAGGCAGCUAAACUUGAUGUAGCCUGUAAAUCCUUAACUUCCGAGAAUUCAGAACAUGAUACUUUGCAAGCACUUGAAUAUGUUGUGGAGAUAUGUCAGAGAAGUAGAUCCAGCAGACAUGUAGUGAGGAAGCUUGGCUUGAUAAGCUUAAUUUCCGAGCUGUUGAAGAAUAGCAGUACAAAAGUACGGCAAAAGGCAUUGGAAAGUCUUUGCUUUGUAGCUAAAGAUGACAAUGAUAACAAGGAUGAGAUUGCUGCCGGGGACAAUAUUCGCACAAUAGUGAAGUUCUUAUCUCAUGGCCACGUCCAAGAGAAAGAACAGGCUGCAUCUCUGUUAUAUGAACUUUCACAAUAUAAACCUCUUUCAGAAAAAAUUGGGAGCGUUCCUGGGGCCAUACUUAUACUUGUUGGCUUGUCAAGUAGUAAAAUAGAAAACCUGUUUACAGUUGAUAGGGCUGAUAAGACACUUGUGAAUUUGGAGAGCUGUGAAAAAAAUGUUAGACAGAUGGCGGAAAACGGUAGACUGCAACCGCUUCUUAGGCUUCUUCUUGAAGGUUCAGCUGAUACACAAUUAUCUAUGGCUGCUUAUGUCGGGGAGCUUGUUUUAACCAACGAUGUGAAGGUCUUUGUGGCACAAACAGCAGGCUCCGCACUAGUCAAUAUCAUGAAAAGUGGGAAUAGGGAGGCUAGAGAAGCAGCUCUGAAGGCACUGAAUCAAAUUUCAUCUUACGACGUCAGUGCGAAGAUACUAAUUGAAGCAGGUAUUCUCCCACCUCUCAUAGCAGACCUCUUUACAGUUGGCAGUAAUCAGCUUCCAAUGAAGUUGAAGGAGGUAUCAGCAACAAUUCUUGCAAAUGUUGUGGCAUCAGGUGCAAAUUUUCAGUCCAUUCCACUUGACCACAACAGGCAGACACUGGUAUCUGAAGAAAUUGUUCACAAUCUGCUUCAUCUCAUCAGCAAUACAGGACCUGCAACUGAGUGUAAGUUACUCCAGGUGCUUGUUGGUUUAACUAGUUCUUCUACAACUGUCCAAGGCAUAGUUGAUGCCAUCAAAAGCUCAGGGGCUACUGUCAGUUUAAUUCAGUUUGUUGAAGCACCUCAAAGAGAGGUUCGCAUGGCUUCCAUCAAGCUCUUGAAUAACAUAUCACCAUGUAUGGGUCAAGAACUGGCUGAAGCUUUUCGUGGAAAUUUUAGUCAACUCAGCAGCUUGAUUAGAGUCAUUGCCGACAACAAUGGUAUUUCUGAAGAGCAAGCACCAGCUGCUGGUCUGGUAGCUGAUCUUCCUCUGCAGGAUUCGGUGCUAACCAGACGUCUUGUUGAAGAUGGGGCUUUCACCACAAUAAUAUCCAAAGUGAUAAUGAUCAGACAAGGGGAGAGUCGUGGGGGGCGUUUCGUCAACCCUUUUCUUGAAGGUCUAGUUAGGAUUGUCUCCCGGAUCACAUUUAUCUUGGAGGAUGAUCCAGAUAUCAUUGCUGUUGCUCGUGAAUACAAUCUCACUGCACUAUUUAGUGAUCUGCUUCAGAUGAAUGGUCUUGACACUGUCCAGAUUGUCUCUGCCACCGCACUAGGAAAUCUAUCUGGCCAGUCAAAGCAUCUAACGAAGAUUCUGCCACCUCCCAACGCGGGAUUGUGUUUUUCAAUAUUUCCAUGCCUCAGUCAGAAGUCUGUAGAAACUGGUGUCUGUAGAGUUCAUCAUGGAAUAUGUUCGUCAAGGGAAAGCUUCUGUCUCUUGGAAGGGAAGGUGGUGGAGAAGUUGGUUGCUUGCUUGGAUCACAACAAUGAGAAAGUUGUUGAAGCCUCUCUAACAGCACUGUCCACAUUAUUAGACGAUGGAGUGGACAUUGAUCAAGGUGUGAUGGUCCUGUGCGACGCAGAGGGCGUCAAACCAAUUCUUGAUGUGUUGUGUGAGAAUCGGACUGAAGCGCUGAGGCAGAGAGCGGUGUGGGCCGUAGAAAGGAUCCUUAGGACGGAUGAAAUAGCUUAUGAGAUCUCGGGAAACCAAAAUGUCAGUACAGCCUUGGUUGAAGCUUUCAGGCAUGGUGACUUUAGGACAAGGCAAAUUGCAGAGCGAGCACUAAAGCAUGUUGAUAAGCUGCCCAAUUUCUCAGGGAUAUUUUCGAAGAUCGGGGCACAGUGACCAUGUUAUGCAGAAGUAGGCUAGUUCUCUUAUACCGGUCGCCUGCAGAUCCUCUUGGGUUGCAUAAAGAUACGUAACUCAAAUAUUGGCGCAUGCCAAAUCUCACACCAAUCAGUUGCUUUCCCAGCUUAAUCGUGUUAGUACUGCCGCUCUCCAAAUAGUUCCCAAACUAAUCGAAUUGAUAGAAUGGGAACUGAAGGUAUUGUUGGUGUGUAUAGUAUAGUGUAUAUUUCCACCCUGUAAGCUUGUUGUAUCUGUAUUAUUCAGAUGCUCAGAUGCAUAGCAUGAUAUUUUUGUGCGAAUAUCCAUUUCUGCGCCUGAGCCCAUCUGAUCUCAGUUAACAGUAAAAUAAUAAAAUACUAGAAAAAAACUGGUUUUUUUGCAUGUCUGUACCAAUUUUCAACGUGUUCGAACAUCUGAGAGAAAGAAAAAUAUUGGUCUGAACACAGCAUAAACAGUAAACUGUUUCAC
RNAcentral lists this ribosomal RNA (3337 nucleotides) under Triticum aestivum (bread wheat). RNAcentral describes it as "partial small subunit ribosomal RNA". The record is from RNAcentral. Lineage: Eukaryota; Viridiplantae; Streptophyta; Magnoliopsida; Poales; Poaceae.